UCACAUUCCGAUACGAUGUUAUUCGAACGCAUAGAGAGUUUACGAAGGUCAACACAACUUACAUAACGGAGUCAAGGAGCUACUCUUAUGGAGAAUACCCUGUUCACUUCGCAGAUGAUGUGUGUAUGGUUAUUGCGUUUCCGAGAACAUCAACCUACAUUUUCAAAAGACCUCGCUGCGCACUCUGGGUUCUCAAUACGACACUUGAAUCACCGUCCAAGUACAGACACUGCUUGUUUAUUUUGUUUGCAACCUGCAGAACUCCUAUAUAUAAUUUAUAUGAGUACGAAAAGGCGGAGUGCGAACAAUGGGGCGACCCUCAAGAGUCA
RNAcentral lists this long non-coding RNA (329 nucleotides) under Dermacentor andersoni. Its description in RNAcentral is "uncharacterized LOC126548090". The record is from RNAcentral. Lineage: Eukaryota; Metazoa; Arthropoda; Arachnida; Ixodida; Ixodidae.